GAGGAGGCUAGUAAUGAAUUCAGUAGACAUAAGAUGCAAGUGAAAGUAAUCUUACAUGUUGAGAAAAGUAGAAGACCGGUGAAAAUCAAAACUGAUUU
This is a small nucleolar RNA of Raphanus sativus (radish), 98 nucleotides long. RefSeq annotates it as small nucleolar RNA R20. The record is from RefSeq and is a predicted model, not a curated record. The transcript has a single exon. NCBI's taxonomy places the organism in Eukaryota, Viridiplantae, Streptophyta, Magnoliopsida, Brassicales, Brassicaceae.